This is a small nucleolar RNA of Dendrobium catenatum, 88 nucleotides long. RefSeq annotates it as small nucleolar RNA R16. Lineage: Eukaryota; Viridiplantae; Streptophyta; Magnoliopsida; Asparagales; Orchidaceae. The record is from RefSeq and is a predicted model, not a curated record. The transcript has a single exon.
UGGAGCAGAUGAUGCAAAUCAAAUUUCUUAUCCUACACUCUGAAAUCCUUUGAGGACUUCUAAAUUCCGCUUAUUGUCUGAUGCUCUG